GUGCGAUACCAUAAAUCCUCUUACCGAGAUUACACCAGGUUCCUAACCAAGUCAACAGCAGCAGAAACUGCAACGAGGGACGAAGAACUAUGAGUUAUUACAUUGCACUAUUCCAUUGACACUUUGCUAAAAUUACACAUUUCAAAGACAACCCUAUGCUGAGAGCUACAAACUCUUUUGUGAACAAGUGGUCCGUCAAAGGAUUAUCGUUGACAAAGAAGUGCUCAGAAUGGACAAGCUAAAAAGGUUGUUCGUGAACACCGUGAAGAACCAUGAGGAUCUUGAUGCUUCAGACUAAAAGUAGGUUUUGCUGAAAAGAAGAUUGAAGCGCGAUUUCCUCCAGUUGGUUUUUCACACCCCUUUCCAGCGCAACAUGUCUGAAAUGUUUUUUUUGUUUUUUUUUGAGACAUUAUCAACAACAGACAAACUUUUAGACAGGAUACCUCAGUCAUCGGGUACAUCAGCUACCGAAUCUACUGAGGUAAGCCAAGAAAGUGACACUGAAAAAAUGGGUAGCACAACAUCAGGUUGGAAAACCAGCUCUGGGCCCAAGUGUUUGUUCAGCCCUCUUUGGCAUCCAUACA
This is a long non-coding RNA of Corythoichthys intestinalis (scribbled pipefish), 584 nucleotides long. RefSeq lists it as uncharacterized. The transcript has 3 exons. The record is from RefSeq and is a predicted model, not a curated record. NCBI's taxonomy places the organism in Eukaryota, Metazoa, Chordata, Actinopteri, Syngnathiformes, Syngnathidae.